This is a non-coding RNA of Triticum aestivum (bread wheat), 119 nucleotides long. The record is from Rfam. NCBI's taxonomy places the organism in Eukaryota, Viridiplantae, Streptophyta, Magnoliopsida, Poales, Poaceae.
GGAUGCGAUCAUACCAGCACUAAAGCACCGGAUCCCAUCAGAACUUCGAAGUUAAGCAUGCUUGGGCGAGAGUAGUACUAGGAUGGGUGACCUCCUGGGAAGUCCUCGUGUUGCAUUCC